This 532-nucleotide small RNA is filed under the name Histoplasma capsulatum. RNAcentral's name for it is "hypothetical RNA". RNAcentral also lists the same sequence under 1 other name. Lineage: Eukaryota; Fungi; Ascomycota; Eurotiomycetes; Onygenales; Ajellomycetaceae. The record is from RNAcentral.
ACGACAGCUCCUGUAUAACCGACGGCUUUAUUAUUAUUAUUAUUAUUAUUUACACGCCGCAUCAUCAAGAAAUGGUUCCAUGCAUCUAAUUUGCUCCUGCCGCUCUUCCUCUAUAUUUAGAGGCGCCGAGAUAUCUGGUUGAACAAAAAAUCGGUCAGCGGGUAAAAGUCGCCGACCAGCCAAUAUAUCUACAUUAUGGAAAUUGUCUUCGUCAGGUAAGUUCAAUGAACCGUGAAUGAUGUCCGUGAACGUCAGAUAGCAUUCUAGAAUGUUUCUAGCUCCCAGAACCACCAGUCCGCUCCAUCGAUCCCUAUCCCCUAGACUCAAAAUUCAUUACCUUGCAUUGUAGAACCAGCCUCGAAAGACAAAACAACGACGCUUACGUGCAUCACCUCCCUCAUGGAGACUUAAUGUUGUGUUCUAAUAGCCAUGCACGUACUGGAUGGCGUUUAGCCGUGUGACUGGAAACAGCGGGGACACAACAUAAACCAGGCUUCAAUAAAUACAAGGGGCAUGCAGACACUCUUGAGCG